RNAcentral lists this long non-coding RNA (1098 nucleotides) under Oreochromis niloticus (Nile tilapia). RNAcentral describes it as "lncRNA (ENSONIG00000024136.2)". Lineage: Eukaryota; Metazoa; Chordata; Actinopteri; Cichliformes; Cichlidae. The record is from RNAcentral.
CUUGUCCAAGACAUUUCCCCCCAUUAAGGCUGCCUCUGCGCAGGCUUUAAGGCGGAGACAGGCCCUUUAGAUAAGCUAACCAAACCCGAGUGCUACAGCUGGGAGAUCAGACACGCAGCCUGUGUUCUAUUACAGAGCCCACUUACAAUAGCGUGGCAUUAAAAAACAAAAAAGGCUCGCCGUUUAACCGUGUUAAACGCGAAUAAUGAUCUAUUUAGCUGCGAAAAGCAAAGAGCAAACAAGAAGAAAGGCGGGAUCUAAAAUAGCUGCGGAGCAGUGUGACUGAUACAGGCUGGGAAGCAGAGAAUAGCUGCUUUCGUCAGCCUUGCCCGUGCGUCCAGCUCGUCUUCCCAACCCAAAGUCGUACACCACAUCAAGUCAAGCGCAGUCCAAUAAAAGCAGUCAGCCCCUCCCUGAUGGCAAACUGGUCCAGAUGUGGCUGCUCUCUGCCAGGCCCCACAGCCUUCUCGUGUGUGCGUCACUGUGCUGAGUGGCCCCAGGUGUUACGCUCCACAUCAAAAAGGCCAUCUGCAGUAUAAAAAAAACGGCCAGCCAACACACCAUGCGCUCCCAUCUCAUCCACAAGUUUCCUCUGCCCAGCAUCCAGACACGGCGCUGCCCACCGUCUCAUCAAUUUUCCUCUUUGAUUUCAUCACCAAGUAAAACUAAAGUGGCAUUACAAAGUUUUAUUUUGUAACAGAACAAGUUUUACAACUGAAACUACCUGAAAAUCAGAAACUCCCGAGUUGUGACCAGAUAUUAAAAGUUUCUGACUGAAAAAAAAAUAAUUUAAAAAAAUCAUCUUGGUGCAAACAAAUACACAACCUUUUAUUUUACAGUCUCAAUAAUGCAAACUGCUUUAGAUCCCACAGAGCAUUAGGAUUUAAAGUGAGCAUGAAACACAAACCCUUCAAGCAGAUUAAAUUUCAAAUCAAGCAGGCCAUGUAAAUGAUGUGGUGACAGGGGGCCCAGUGCAAUUAGCAUGCCGGGCUAGUGUUAAAGCAAUUAGGCAAAACAGACGGCAAGAGCACCGGGGCUAAGCAUGGGAAGGGAGAAGGACGAAUAUUUCCAUAUUAUUCUUCAGGACAUGAAGAAAAU